CUCACAUACGGAGCCAGAUAAUCACACACAAAGCAUACAAUACUCAAGAUAAGGACAGAGUUACCCUCCUUCUUCGCGACCGGAGAAGAUCGGCCUUAAAUCAACAGAGAAAACCCUAGGUACAAAACCCUAGGUACAACCGUCGAAAACUUUACUGGAAAUAUGGUCAGGGAUGUCGAAAAGUCACCCAAAACAUCCACUGAGUGAGGAUCGAGCAACCGGAUAGCAGUUAAACCAUAGGUUCAACCACCAGAAACCCUAGAAGCUGGUAAGUCACCGAAAAAUCACCCAAAAAUCACCAGAAAAUCUCCCAGAACGUUCGAGUGAAGGAAAUUUAUUCAGCUUCAGUAGAAGAUAAAAAUCACCGGAAAAUCUCCCAGAAUGUUCGAGUGAAGAAGAUAUACGCAGAUAUCACGAUGAAAGUCUCAGAAAAGCAUCCGAUUUAGAUCGGAAUCGUCAUCGCCCACAUACGUCAGAAACACCCCCAAAAAUCUCAAAGGAAACUUCAACGAAGAUAACAAGAUGCAGAAAAACUUAGUCGGAUCAUCGUCUAGGCUCUGAUACCAUGAAAACAUUAAGACUAAACUGAAGAAUCAUGAAGAAUAUAGUGAGAGAAACAAGAGAGAGAAGGAGGUAGUUGAGAGAAGGAUCGAGAAGAUCCAGAGAGAUUUUUAUUAAAGCAAAUGAAG
This 689-nucleotide long non-coding RNA is filed under the name Nicotiana benthamiana. RNAcentral's name for it is "long non-coding RNA (NBEN_LNC023951)". Lineage: Eukaryota; Viridiplantae; Streptophyta; Magnoliopsida; Solanales; Solanaceae. The record is from RNAcentral.